GUUCAGUUGUUCUACUGACAAGGCCAGCAGUCAGUCACCCGAUAAAAUCAAACUCAAGUCCCUCUAAAAAAUUCUUCAACUACAAAAGAAAAUCAACAGAGAGUUUCAAAGUAAGAGAAGCUUUAAGUUACAAAUAAAAAAUAAAUUUUGAAGUAAGAGAAGCACUGACCAGAGAUUGAUGAAGAGGGGUUCUCUAUUUUGAAGUGCGAAGUGAUGGAGGCGAACUGGUGGAGGAGAGCUUUGAUUUUUGAUUGAGGAAUAACGAAGAAGUGAAGAAGAAGAACUGGGAAAGCAGGGACUGUUGAUUGGGGCUUUUGAAAAUUGGGGUUUUUGGGAAUUGGGGCUUUUUGACUAGUAUUAUUAAUUAUUAAAAGUUCAAAUUAUAACUUAAUAGAGAACAAGUGGAAUAAAAAAUUAUUAAUUAGUCAACUUGACUAAUAAUUAAUAAAUAGUAUUGUUAAGUUAUCG
Molecule: long non-coding RNA, 468 nt
Filed under: Nicotiana benthamiana
Lineage: Eukaryota; Viridiplantae; Streptophyta; Magnoliopsida; Solanales; Solanaceae
Description: long non-coding RNA (NBEN_LNC033016)
Source: RNAcentral